GAAGGUACAGUACAGGCUUAAACCUUUAAUAAACCGUUAAUAAAGAAUGAUAAAAAAUAUACUAUAAUUAAUUUUGUGUACACAUAUUAGCAACAUAAAGCAAGUAAACUGAAAUGACAAAUGAGCCUGUUCUACUUUUAAAAUGUUAAGUAGCAUCCAGCAAUCUGUGUCAUGUUUACUAUACAUGUAUCAGAGAAAUCUAUAACAAGAGAACUUCUUAUCUUUCAGCUCAUUGGCUGGGUUAUUGACCAGAAUGUCGCCGAGAAGUUGGGGCAAGCCAUGAGAGAUGUGGGGGUUGGGACGUUUUACUUAAGACAGGAGGGAAAUACGCAGGGCACCAACACCUUCAAGUGUAUGUCUUUGUCAGAUAACACUACCUGGGAGGCCAGGUAAUCGUGUACAGAUCCGAGUGGCUGAUGUUCAAGAGAUUUGGCAGAUUUUGUGCUGAAGAUGGAAGUAAGACUGAGUGGACCGAUGUACGAGGACUUUCACAGAUGCGCAGGAUCUUUGCCAACAAGUGCACUUCAGCAAGGGACUAGGUAGGUAGUAGGUAGGCACUUCAGCCUGCCGGGGCACGGAAAGAAAACUGCAUGUCUAAAGAACAGCUAAGUUCUUUGACUUGAUUCACUAUUAAUCGUCUUAAUAUUGGUAUUUAAACUUGAU
Branchiostoma floridae (Florida lancelet) is the source of this 663-nucleotide long non-coding RNA. RefSeq lists it as uncharacterized. NCBI's taxonomy places the organism in Eukaryota, Metazoa, Chordata, Leptocardii, Amphioxiformes, Branchiostomatidae. The transcript is spliced from 3 exons. The record is from RefSeq and is a predicted model, not a curated record.